GGGGGCUUAGCUUAGUUGGUUAAAGCAUCCCGCUCAUAACGGGAGGAUCGUGGGUUCAAGUCCCUCAGCCCCUACCA
This 77-nucleotide transfer RNA is filed under the name Bdellovibrio svalbardensis. RNAcentral describes it as "tRNA-Met". It matches the Rfam family "tRNA". From Rfam's summary of the family: Transfer RNA (tRNA) molecules are approximately 80 nucleotides in length. Their secondary structure includes four short double-helical elements and three loops (D, anti-codon, and T loops). Further hydrogen bonds mediate the characteristic L-shaped molecular structure. tRNAs have two regions of fundamental functional importance: the anti-codon, which is responsible for specific mRNA codon recognition, and the 3' end, to which the tRNAs corresponding amino acid is attached (by aminoacyl-tRNA synthetases). tRNAs cope with the degeneracy of the genetic code in two manners: having more than one tRNA (with a specific anti-codon) for a particular amino acid; and 'wobble' base-pairing, i.e. permitting non-standard base-pairing at the 3rd anti-codon position. Lineage: Bacteria; Pseudomonadati; Bdellovibrionota; Bdellovibrionia; Bdellovibrionales; Pseudobdellovibrionaceae. The record is from RNAcentral.